This 516-nucleotide ribosomal RNA is filed under the name Penicillium chrysogenum. RNAcentral describes it as "eukaryotic LSU rRNA". The stretch from base 145 to 297 matches the Rfam family "5.8S ribosomal RNA". Lineage: Eukaryota; Fungi; Ascomycota; Eurotiomycetes; Eurotiales; Aspergillaceae. The record is from RNAcentral.
CCCGUGUUUAUUUUACCUUGUUGCUUCGGCGGGCCCGCCUUAACUGGCCGCCGGGGGGCUUACGCCCCCGGGCCCGCGCCCGCCGAAGACACCCUCGAACUCUGUCUGAAGAUUGUAGUCUGAGUGAAAAUAUAAAUUAUUUAAAACUUUCAACAACGGAUCUCUUGGUUCCGGCAUCGAUGAAGAACGCAGCGAAAUGCGAUACGUAAUGUGAAUUGCAAAUUCAGUGAAUCAUCGAGUCUUUGAACGCACAUUGCGCCCCCUGGUAUUCCGGGGGGCAUGCCUGUCCGAGCGUCAUUUCUGCCCUCAAGCACGGCUUGUGUGUUGGGCCCCGUCCUCCGAUCCCGGGGGACGGGCCCGAAAGGCAGCGGCGGCACCGCGUCCGGUCCUCGAGCGUAUGGGGCUUUGUCACCCGCUCUGUAGGCCCGGCCGGCGCUUGCCGAUCAACCCAAAUUUUUAUCCAGGUUGACCUCGGAUCAGGUAGGGAUACCCGCUGAACUUAAGCAUAUCAAUAAG